RNAcentral lists this ribosomal RNA (1457 nucleotides) under metagenome. Its description in RNAcentral is "bacterial LSU rRNA". It matches the Rfam family "Bacterial large subunit ribosomal RNA", at positions 1470 to 2925 of the family's 2925-position model. The record is from RNAcentral.
UGACGGAGAGGCGUAAGGAAUGCGUACUGACGGAAUAGUACGUUGAAGUGUGUAGGCGUUGAUAAGACAGGCAAAUCCGUCAUAGAGCUGAGGCACGAUAGUAUCCCUCCUUGCUUGCAAGGAGGGAAUAAUUUCCCCAAGCGAACUUCCAAGAAAAACCUCUAAGCUAUAGGUAUAUACAGCUCGUACCGUAAACCGACACAGGUAGUCGAGGAGAGUAUCCUAAGGCGCUCGAGUGAAUCAUGGCUAAGGAACUAGGCAAAAUGGCCUCGUAACUUCGGGAGAAGAGGCGCCCCAUUAGAAAUAAGGGGGCCGCAGUGAAAAGGCCCAGGCGACUGUUUAGCAAAAACACAGGACUCUGCGAAAUCGAAAGAUGAAGCAUAGGGUCUGACACCUGCCCGGUGCUGGAAGGUUAAGGAAGGGGGUUAGCGCAAGCGAAGCUCUUGACUGAAGCCCCAGUGAACGGCGGCCGUAACAAUAACGGUCCUAAGGUAGCGAAAUUCCUUGUCGGGUAAGUUCCGACCUGCACGAAUGGUGUAACGAUCUGGGCACUGUCUCGGCCAUGAGCUCGGUGAAAUUGAAGUAUCGGUGAAGAUGCCGGUUACCCGCAGUGGGACGAAAAGACCCCGUGCACCUUUACUAUAGCUUCACAUUGAGCUUGAGUAUAAGAUGUGUAGGAUAGGUGGGAGACUAUGAAGCUGUCACGCAAGUGAUGGUGGAGUCAUCGUUGAAAUACCACCCUUCUUAUACUUAGGUUCUAAUCCUGUUGAAGACGGGAGACAUUGUGUGGUGGGUAGUUUGACUGGGGUGGUCGCCUCCAAAAGAGUAACGGAGGCUUGCAAAGGUUCCCUCAGCAUGGUCGGUAAUCAUGCGUAGAGCGUAUUAGUACAAGGGAGCUUGACUGAGAGACCGACGGGUCGAACAGGUAGGAAACUAGGCUAAAGUGAUCCGGUGGUUCCGUAUGGAAGGGCCAUCGCUCAUAGGAUAAAAGGUACGCCGGGGAUAACAGGCUUAUCUCCCCCAAGAGCUCACAUCGACGGGGAGGUUUGGCACCUCGUUGUCGGCUCGUCACAUCCUGGGGCUGGAGAAGGUCCCAAGGGUUGGGCGGUUCGCCCAUUAAAGUGGCACGCGAGCUGGGUUCGGAACGUCGCAAGACAGUUCGGUCUCUAUCUACUGCGGGCGUGGGAAUAUUGAGAAGAUCUGACACUAGUACGAGAGGACCGUGUUGGACAGACCUCUAGUGCACCUGUUGUGGCGCCAGCUGCAUCGCAGGGUAGCUAUGUCUGGAACGGAUAAGCGCUGAAAGCAUCUAAGCACGAAGCCAACUUCAAGAUGAGUAUUCCAUCCCGGCGCGAGUCGGGAGAAGGGUUGUUGUAGAUCACGACGUUGAUAGGCUAUAGGUGGAAGUGCAGUAAUGUAUGGAGCCGAGUAGUACUAAUUACCCGAAAGCUUCCUAA